GUGGGGAAUAUUGCACAAUGGGCGAAAGCCUGAUGCAGCGACGCCACGUGAGGGAUGACGGCCUUCGGGUUGUAAACCUCUUUCAGCAGGGAAGAAGCGUAAGUGACGGUACCUGCAGAAGAAGCGCCGGCUAACUACGUGCCAGCAGCCGCGGUAAUACGUAGGGCGCAAGCGUUGUCCGGAAUUAUUGGGCGUAAAGAGCUCGUAGGCGGUCUGUCGCGUCUGGUGUGAAAUCCCAUGGCUCAACUGUGGGCUUGCAUCGGGUACGGGCAGACUAGAGUGCUGUAGGGGAGACUGGAAUUCCUGGUGUAGCGGUGGAAUGCGCAGAUAUCAGGAGGAACACCGAUGGCGAAGGCAGGUCUCUGGGCAGUUACUGACGCUGAGGAGCGAAAGCAUGGGGAGCGAACAGGAUUAGAAACCCGAGUAGUCC
This 430-nucleotide ribosomal RNA is filed under the name uncultured bacterium. RNAcentral's name for it is "bacterial SSU rRNA". It matches the Rfam family "Bacterial small subunit ribosomal RNA", at positions 354 to 796 of the family's 1533-position model. The record is from RNAcentral.